RNAcentral lists this ribosomal RNA (574 nucleotides) under Kluyveromyces lactis. Its description in RNAcentral is "LSU rRNA". It matches the Rfam family "Eukaryotic large subunit ribosomal RNA", at positions 36 to 651 of the family's 3401-position model. The record is from RNAcentral. Lineage: Eukaryota; Fungi; Ascomycota; Saccharomycetes; Saccharomycetales; Saccharomycetaceae.
AAGCAUAUCAAUAAGCGGAGGAAAAGAAACCAACCGGGAUUACCUUAGUAACGGCGAGUGAAGCGGCAAAAGCUCAAAUUUGAAAUCUGGCGUCUUCGACGUCCGAGUUGUAAUUUGAAGAAGGCAACUUUGUAGCUGGUCCUUGUCUAUGUUCCUUGGAACAGGACGUCAUAGAGGGUGAGAAUCCCGUGUGGCGAGGAUCCCAGUUAUUUGUAAAGUGCUUUCGACGAGUCGAGUUGUUUGGGAAUGCAGCUCUAAGUGGGUGGUAAAUUCCAUCUAAAGCUAAAUAUUGGCGAGAGACCGAUAGCGAACAAGUACAGUGAUGGAAAGAUGAAAAGAACUUUGAAAAGAGAGUGAAAAAGUACGUGAAAUUGUUGAAAGGGAAGGGCAUUUGAUCAGACAUGGCGUUUGCUUCGGCUUUCGCUGGGCCAGCAUCAGUUUUAGCGGUUGGAUAAAUCCUCGGGAAUGUGGCUCUGCUUCGGUAGAGUGUUAUAGCCCGUGGGAAUACAGCCAGCUGGGACUGAGGAUUGCGACUUUUGUCAAGGAUGCUGGCGUAAUGGUUAAAUGCCGCCCG